RNAcentral lists this ribosomal RNA (402 nucleotides) under uncultured bacterium. RNAcentral describes it as "bacterial SSU rRNA". It matches the Rfam family "Bacterial small subunit ribosomal RNA", at positions 355 to 754 of the family's 1533-position model. The record is from RNAcentral.
UGAGGAAUAUUGGGCAAUGCCCGCAAGGGUGACCCAGCAACGCCGCGUGGAGGAUGAAGGCCGUAAGGUUGUAAACUCCUGUUAGAGGAGAAGAAUAGUACCGAUUGGAUCGGUAUUUGACUGUACCCUCAGAGAAAGCCCCGGCUAACUACGUGCCAGCAGCCGCGGUAAUACGUAGGGGGCAAGCGUUGUCCGGAUUUACUGGGUGUAAAGGGCGCGCAGGCGGGAUAGCAAGUCAGAGGUGAAAUCCUACAGCUUAACUGUAGAACUGCCUUUGAUACUGUUAUUCUUGAGUUCGGGAGAGAGAGACGGAAUUCCAGGUGUAGUGGUGAAAUACGUAGAUAUCUGGAAGAACACCAGUUGCGAAGGCGGUCUCUUGGUCCGAUACUGACGCUGAGGCGC